Molecule: long non-coding RNA, 587 nt
Filed under: Mytilus galloprovincialis (Mediterranean mussel)
Lineage: Eukaryota; Metazoa; Mollusca; Bivalvia; Mytilida; Mytilidae
Source: RNAcentral
UGGCGGGAUCUGGCAAGAUGACAGGGGGUCAUGACCCUAUAAUUCUACGUUAGACCAUAUGUUAAAAUAUUCUCCUGUGGUACCACAGGGAAGUUGUGUUUUUUUAUAAACGGCUUUCUCUUGUUUACCAGAGCGGUCGGUUCAUCACUGUUACCAGUUUUGAAUUUUAUCCUCCGAGUACCGAGGAAGCGUUAUUCAAGUUAUGGCCUAGCGUCAGUGUGGGGUCGUGCUCCUCGUUCACUCUUAUUUUCCUUAGAGGAACUUUUGUUACUUCUGUUACCAGAAGAACACCUACUUGACAUUAUUAAAAAUGCCGGCGGUUUGUAUCGUCUUGCCAGACCUCGUUUACUGUUUUUUUCCCUGCGGCCGAUUUUAUUCCACUUAAGAUUUCUUAAAUUAUUUAGUUUUUACGGAGUUGUGGAAUGAUCGCCUAUGAGACAACUCAAUUGUACAAAUCAACGUUGGUAUUAGCAUCUAAAGGUAACCGUACAACCUUUAACAAUGAGCAAAACAUUUACCAUAUGCGGCCGGUUUUAUUCCACACAUUAUUUCUUGAAUUAUUCUAAUCUUUAAUUAAUCAACUUUAU